RNAcentral lists this long non-coding RNA (553 nucleotides) under Homo sapiens (human). RNAcentral describes it as "WDR5B divergent transcript". The record is from RNAcentral. Lineage: Eukaryota; Metazoa; Chordata; Mammalia; Primates; Hominidae.
UUUUUCGCCCCGCCCUUCAAAUGCGAAAGCGACUGCCUUCUUGGAACACUCAAAACUAGCAUCUGAUGAAUGCCUACAUUCAGUCCACAAAGCAACAAUGGUCCUAUUUUUCCCUCCACUUUAAUGAGACCGAUCACUCUUCUAAAAACUAAGCCAGUUCCUUCAAAUUUAACAUGUGAUGAUUAAAAAGAAAUGGCUGGGUUCCGUUCCAAGAUAGCUGAAUAGGAACAGCUCUGGUCUGCAGCUCCCAGAGUGAUCGACGCAGAAGACGGGUGAUUUCUGCAUCACCAACUGAGGUACCUGAUUCAUCUCACUGGGACUGGUUGGACAGUGGGUGCAGCCCACGGAGGGCAAGGUGAAGCAUGACAGGGCGUCGCCUCACCCAGGAAGCACAAUGGGUCGGGGGAUUUUCCUUUCCUAGCCAAGGGAAGCUGUGACAGACUGUACAUGGAAAAUCAGUACACCCCGCCCAAACACUGUGCUUUUCCCACAGUCUUAGCAAAUGGCAGACGAGGAGAUUGCUCUCCCAUGCCUGGCUCAGCGGGUCCCAUGC